RNAcentral lists this long non-coding RNA (2425 nucleotides) under Cucumis sativus (cucumber). RNAcentral's name for it is "long non-coding RNA (CSAT_LNC000249)". The record is from RNAcentral. Lineage: Eukaryota; Viridiplantae; Streptophyta; Magnoliopsida; Cucurbitales; Cucurbitaceae.
UGUUUUUCAAAUGUACUUUGGUGCAUAGACGUCAUCUCAAUAAAAUUUAAAUUUUCUUUUAUUAGAGAACAAACAAGCUAUUAAUAGUUAAAUUUAUAAACAGAGAACUUCAAAAUUAAAGUAAGGGAGUUCUAUUACAAUUAAAAUCCAUUUACUAAUAUAUCUAUAUUGAUGACUGUUUAUACAUAGCAACACAGCUUGUUAAAAGUAAAAUAUAAGAUCUGAAGUUCAAAGUAUAGAAAAGUGGAAAAAGCAAGAAACCAACAGAUGCACCACAAAUAUAUAAGGAAAAUUGAAAAAAUGUCAACCUAUAGAAUGUAUCAAAAGAAGAAGGAGAAAAAGAGAUAUAUUUAACAUAUAUACUUCUGUGGUUGCAAAAAGAAAAACAUGUUGUUACCAAAUAAAAGAGAUGAAAGAUAUCAAAAUGAAACCAAGAAAACCAAAUAUUAAGAGAGAGAGAUAUAAUUGGUAAACCCAAAUGUAAAAUUAGUCAUGGGUCCAAGUAAUUAAUUCCCAUUAAUUUCAUUUCAGUAACUUAACAAACAAUAUUCAAUAUAUAUCUCCAAAAUUUUCAUUCCCAUGCAAAAGAGUGAAACAAGAUAAUGCAACUUUUACCACAUAAUUAAAAGCAAAUGGGGAAAGUAUAUGUAAUCAAUUUAUAUUCUAUUACCAUAUACGAUUCUAUUAAAACUAGUAAAAGUUGUUCUGCACCAUUAUCACCUUCAUUUUCUUAAAAUAAUGCUCAUUUUUGCUUACAAUCCAACCAAGCUACAAUUUUUGUACUAACAAAAUUUAAUAAGUUUUCUUCUACAGAAAAAAAACAUCAUAUUAUUAAUCUUAUAGUUCGUCAUGUAUUGUCCUCAAUGUCAACCUAGUUGAGAAGACUUGGUGCCCGAUCAAGUAUCUUUUCUAAGAACGUUUGACUCUUUUUCCUUUAGGACUAUUGUGAUCCAAAAAAAACGAAAAGAAAAGAAAAAACUAAUAAUUUUUUUUUUUGGUCUUUUUCAACUUUAAACUUGCUAAUUCUAUGUUUGAAGAACAAAGUUAAAAAAUGAAGGUACUUAAGGAGGAUAGCCUGUGAACUAUUACUAUAGCUAGGUUACAACACUCAAUAUCAUUAAUUAGCUACACUUAUACCUUAAGCAUAAUUAGUCUUGCAACAACAAUCCAAGAAUUGUAUUUUUCAAUGACCAAAUUAAACAAAGAUAUAUGACAAAAUUAUUGCCUAGUUAGUCUAUAUCCUCUCCUUUAUAAGAACCUCCACAUUUCAUAAUUAUUCUCACACAUCCUAAACAAAGCAUUCUCUCAAUCUCUAAAUUUCCUCAUUUUUCUACAAACAAUGGAGAACAAGGGUAUGAGCACCUCCAUAAUGAAGAUAUCACUUACAUUAUUCCUAGUAAGCAUGGCCAUUUUGGCACCAUCAGCCACGGCUCGGAUGGAGGCAGCAGCACCUAGUCCAUUAGCACUAGAAGAUCUAUCUUUCUCUAACUGCACACCAUUUAUUUUAGAGGCAACAAUGUGUGUAGUAGGCGUGAUAAAAUUCCCGGUUGCUCCUCAUCCUUCGUGUUGCAAAGCUAUUUCUGAUCUCGACGAUUGUUCUCCGGAAACUUACGAACAUAUUCCUGGCAUGGACAUUAUUAAAAAAAUUUGUAGUCUGUGAAGCACUUUCUAUCUUGACAAUCAAAAGAUUCUUCAAGCAAAUUGAACCAUUUUGAAUAAGAAAGUUAUGUUUAUGUGAUUGUGAGUUUUCUUUUUUCCUACAGUACUAUUACAGUACCAUCUAUAAAACUUAAUAAAACAUACAUCUUUAACAAGAUUUAGAGUGUACUUGAAAAUCUCUGCAUAAUCAACAACACUAAAAUCUUCAUAGCCAAUUUAGUUUUAGUACUACAUACACAAAAGAUUUAAGAAACAGAAUUAUAGUCUAUGCAUAACAAUCUAAACUUUCUUACAAGUUUCCAGAUUUCCAGAUUUUCUGUUUUCUAGCAAUAGAGAAAAAAAAGAGUCAAACCAUUUGUUUUCAGGAUUUGUAGAGCAUCAAACUGAUAGAACUAAGUCAUGCACAGCGGAAAAAGAAUCGAAUUUCUACCCUAAUUGCCACAAUUAACAUGUAACCAUAAACUAAUCAAAUUAGGGUUUUAAGAAGUAUUACCUUUGAAGCUUUCAAAAGGUUUGAUGUCUUCUUACCAAUUCUACCCGAGACCACCACUAGUACUCAACUGCUAUCCUCUAGACAAAGAACCGGGUUGUGGGACCCAAUUUUGAUGUAGAAAGUAAUGGAGAUAAAAUGAGAUUGGAAGCUUUCUUUUUUCUUUUGUUGAGAUGAUGAAAAUGAUAAAAGAGGCAAAAGUCCUUCAACAUUUGAAAACAUCUCUAUUUAUAGCCUAAUUACAUGCAAAAAUGCAUGCAAUUCAAUUGCCAAAUC